Molecule: non-coding RNA, 1663 nt
Organism: Camelina sativa (false flax)
Lineage: Eukaryota; Viridiplantae; Streptophyta; Magnoliopsida; Brassicales; Brassicaceae
Source: RefSeq, a predicted model, not a curated record
CCUGAUCUUCUCUCUCUUUUCUCUCUUGAUCUAAAAGACGAAUCCACCAAAAACCAGAAAAAUCAAUCGAUUCUCUGUUUCGCGACCCUCCCUGCCGUUAUCGUCAUCUGGGUCAUUAUCUCCACCGACGCGACUUUGGGGUGGAGUCUGGAGAGAUGGUCACUGCCUCACUGGCCUGGAGAAAUCACCAGACCUCUCUUCUUACUUCCUCGUUUGAUGAUUGGAAUCGAUGAUUGGUCUUAACUCAAGACUGCAAAUCGAAUAAUGCAAUGGCCAUUGGUGUACAUGUCUAAGGUGGAUGGGAAGUUCAACUUCAGUCCUAUUAGCGUCAACUUCUUGACAGAGAUCGCUAAAGUUAUUUUUGCGAUUGUCAUGCUUUUACUCCAGGUAUGUUUCUGAACUAACUUUUAAUCUCGAUUCUUUAAUUGGGACAGUUAGGUUAUACUCUAGAAUUUAGGACUAGUGGCUAGAUGUUUCUUCAGCAAUAGAAGGUGAAAAGUACUAGAAAGUAGAAGUUCAUAGUGUUGAUUAACUAGUAACGUGAAUGUGAUAUAGUUCCAAUUAGUUCUGUGCAUAAAAACACUUUCUUGCUUGAGUCUCUUGCAUUUGUUUUGUAAGCACCGUGGACGAUCUUGUAUUUUCUUAAAACUGAUCCUUGUGUUUCAAUGAAAAAUUCCUUGUCAAUGUUAGUAGCGCUUUCUUGAUCAGUCUAUUAACAUGUGAAUGACUAUAUGUAUGUAUAGCCCACUGAAUAUGGUGUUAGUUAGGGGCUUCUAGUGCAGGAUUAAGGAUUAAGAGUUAAAGUCGUGAUUUUUCCUGCAACUGGUGCAGCUAGUGAAGGUUGUUCAGAACAGAUAUCAACAGAAACCCAAGCUGUAAUACCUGAGGAAGACACCGGUGUGUCUUAUACUUUGCCUAAUUUUGAAACUCCAGAUAAAGACGUUGAUUUAGUCGCUGAAAAGGUAUCAGCUCUUAGUUCUCAUUACUCUAAAGCAUAUAAUAAGCCUUUCUUAGAAGUGUGAUCUAGCAAAGAGGCUAAACAUAUUUAGGCUCAAUUACUUUCUCAGUUUCAACUUUCAAAGGAAUAGAAAUGUGAUGAGAUUCUUUUGCAAUUAUAACUGGUAAAGAAGUUAUUGGUUAGGAGGAGGGCCUGUAGUAUUUGAAUGACUCGAGAGCUUGGUAUAUGUGAGUACAUGGGACCAUUCGGGAGUACAUGGUAUAUCACUACAGAUGAGGAAGCUACCGUCGCCUAAAUUUAUGGUUGAAGUUGUUCUUGCUGAUAUAAAUGCAACAAUCCCUAGUUCUGAAACAGCAUCCACAACACCGGAAGAAACUCCAUCAGCUAAUUCUGCCCCCGUAGACGGCUCUGCAUAAAGCUCAACUUCAAAGCUUGUGCCUUCUCAACACAAGCAAAAGAGAAACUUGAAGCUUCGGGAUGUUUUAGAGUAAUGAGAACUAAGCUUGAAGUUUAAAGAACAUACAAAACUUAUUGGGUCUGUUUUUUUUGGUAUCGCAGGAUCAAAUCAAAAGCCUUGUUACUUUUUUUUUUGUUGUUUUUAUGAAUGCUUGUUGGUGUUUGGGAUUUUUAUCUAGUUACUACUACUAUUGAUGUCUGGAUUUUAUAAAAAGUUUUGGAUUUUUAAGUUAAUUGUUUGAAGAAUUA